GUGCUUACUUAGGCAGCACAUAUACUAAAAUUGGAACUAUAUAGAGAAGAUUAGCAUGGCCCCUGCGCAAGGAUGACAAGCAAAUUGGUGGUGCUGGUAAUUGAACU
This 107-nucleotide small nuclear RNA is filed under the name Sorex araneus (European shrew). The record is from RNAcentral. Lineage: Eukaryota; Metazoa; Chordata; Mammalia; Eulipotyphla; Soricidae.